CCUACGGGGGGCAGCAGUAGGGAAUCUUCCUCAAUGGGCGCAAGCCUGAUGGAGCAACACCGCGUGAGUGAAGAAGGGUUUCGGCUCGUAAAGCUCUGUUGUUGGAGAAGAACGUGCGUGAGAGUAACUGUUCACGCAGUGACGGUCUCCAACCAGUAAGUCACGGCUAACUACGUGCCAGCAGCCGCGGUAAUACGUAGGUGGCAAGCGUUAUCCGUAUUUAUUGGGCGUUAAGCGAGCGCAGGCGGGUGCUUAGGUAUGAUGUGAACGCCUUCGGCUUAACGGAAGAAGUGCAUCGGAAACCGGGCGACUUGAGUGCAGAAGAGGAGAGUGGAACUCGAGGUGUAGCGGUGGAAUGCGUAGAUAUAUGGAAGAACACCAGUGGCGAAGGCGGCUGUCUGGUCUGCAACUGACGCUGAGGCUCGAAAGCAUGGGUAGCGAACAGGAUUAGAUACCCCUGUAGUC
RNAcentral lists this ribosomal RNA (465 nucleotides) under uncultured bacterium. RNAcentral describes it as "partial 16S ribosomal RNA". It matches the Rfam family "Bacterial small subunit ribosomal RNA", at positions 338 to 795 of the family's 1533-position model. The record is from RNAcentral.